AGCGCUUCUCGGCCUUUUGGCUAGGACCGAGUGAAUUAUCUGUUAACCAUUGGACAGCUGAUGCCAGCUGUAUCUGAAGACAAUAUAUUAACUGGAUUGUUUGGAGCAGGGAGAUGGCCUAGGGACUAACUAACUUCACUGUAUAUGUUAACCUGACUUUGCAGUUUCUCUAGGAAUAGUGCAGCCCUG
Molecule: small nuclear RNA, 189 nt
Organism: Microtus ochrogaster (prairie vole)
Lineage: Eukaryota; Metazoa; Chordata; Mammalia; Rodentia; Cricetidae
Gene: U2
Rfam family: U2 spliceosomal RNA
About the family: U2 is a small nuclear RNA (snRNA) component of the spliceosome (involved in pre-mRNA splicing). Complementary binding between U2 snRNA (in an area lying towards the 5' end but 3' to hairpin I) and the branchpoint sequence (BPS) of the intron results the bulging out of an unpaired adenosine, on the BPS, which initiates a nucleophilic attack at the intronic 5' splice site, thus starting the first of two transesterification reactions that mediate splicing.
Source: Ensembl